Long non-coding RNA from Lepidothrix coronata (blue-crowned manakin), 4778 nucleotides. RefSeq lists it as uncharacterized. The record is from RefSeq and is a predicted model, not a curated record. NCBI's taxonomy places the organism in Eukaryota, Metazoa, Chordata, Aves, Passeriformes, Pipridae. The transcript has 4 exons.
GGCCGGGAACGCGCCCUCGGGCAGCGCCGCCGGCACCGCGGUCUUCGCCCCCGAGGGAGUGGCUGGUAGCAGGCGCUCCGACUCUCAAGUCGGAUUUCUCCGGAUAAAGCGUCGUUUUAAUUUCCUUUUAUAAUGCGAUCUUCCAACGUUUAUAAUUGGAAACACGUAACACGCAUGGCAAUAAAACCUGUUUUGUUUUAAAGACAAGGAGCACGUCCAGGAGAUGAAGAAAGAGCUCGAUUCGCCGUUGCAAACAGCUGAGAAGGCGUUUGCAGUGGAGCUGCUGACGAUGCCGGCUGCCAGCAGGAAAAUGAAAAGGAAAGACUUGCUCGAUUUCCAAAACCAAGCCAUUGGUUUCACUGGCCUCUGGUUUAAAUAGCAAACUGAACCCUCUUUCCAGUGCCACAAAUUUCAGAGCCACUCCAAAGACACCUAACAGGUAAGGGGUUAUAAUGGGCUAAUUAAAAGAUGGAGUCUGCUUCACCAUUGCCUCGAGCAUGGAGCUAAAAAGCUUGAUGUGCCAGCUGAGCCGCUUGCAAAACCACCUAGCAAGUGAACCAAGGUAGCUGAGCCAUUCUUAGCAAAAAGGAAGGUCUUUGGAUAAGAAGCGUUACAAUCAAGAACACAGCGGGGACUUACUCUCCCAAAUAAGGUAUGCCAGGCAGAUCUUGCUUGGGUACUGGGGCACCAGCCAGUGGACACUCAGGCCCAUCUUGGUCCCAGGCAAACUUUGCUUGGGUACUGGUGAACUGGCCAGUGGGCACUCAGGGUCUGCCAUGGGGAGGGUAUUUAAGUUGGCGUGCCAGUGGCCUUUGUGGUGAUUGUAAACUCCUGUUCUGUGCUUUUAACAGUCACCCUCAGCUUUUCCUGCUUUUCUGUCUCCCUUCUUUCUCUCUUCUCUUUUGUGUAACAAAAUAAAGUUGAGUUAUCUUUUUUGGAAUCAGGCAUCUGGCCUUGUUUGUGCCUUAAUCCCGUUUAUGGGAAUGUUUUAGAACCUGGUUCCACUCCUUGUCUAAGCAGAUCAGAACAGGGGUUUUUGGCUUGUUCUUAAUAAAUAAUUUUGUUAAAUACCACAUGAUUUCACGGAAUAUUCUGAGUUGGAAGGGACCCACAGGGAUCAUUGAGUCCAACUCUUAAGUGUGAGUCAAAGAAGCAACAUCUCUACCUCAAUUAGCUUAGGAAUUUAGUGGUCUCUGACCUUAGGAGAGGAGCUGUACCUUAAUCCACAAACGUGCAUGUUUUCCUGAACUUUGCCAUUUUGGCUGCUUUUCUCUUAAACCUAUAAUCAGUUUAGUAUCAUAAAAUAAGGGUAAAGGAAGCUGAGAUAACUGAAAACAGCUGACUAGUCCACCUGAAGGACAUGAACCAAAUGCAUCAUAUACUUCAAAAGGCACAAUAAAUAGACGUUGUUUUGCUAGGAAUUGAAUUCAAAUAAAGGACUGUUGAAGUAGAAAAAUAACAUGAGGUUAUCUUUUAACUAGUGAUAGAUGUGUCUUGUAGUGGGUAAAGACAAUCAGAUGAGAUUGUCCACAGCCCCAAAUUCCUGCCACGAAAGCGACACUAGAUGGCAGACGUGCUCCACGAAAGAAAAGUCAGGUGAGAUUUGGGUACAGGCUCACGCCGUAAUAAGGUGGGUAGUUUUCUGGGAAGCAACUUUGAAUGUUACACUGUAUAAAUAGCCGAAGAAACUGUACUUCGGAGAGGAUGUGUGGCGAACGAUUCCCCGUGCUCCCGUCACGACGAAUUAAAGGAAUGUUUCAUCCAAACGACACCGUGGCUGUUUCGGUUGGUGCUGUGACUCAGAUCCCUCUGUUCGCUGUGACCCCUUGGUGAGACAGACGCUUUCAGGGCGCCCCUGGAGAUUUCUCCGGCAAAGCCUCCCUCAGCCACGGGAUCAUUGCAGGAGCAGACAAGGUCCUGGCCACAGCUUUUUCAGGUCAACCUCUGGAGGGGAAGUGGAACAGACCCUACCAAGUGCUGCUGACAACCUUCACUGCAAUCAAGAUCAAAGAGCAUGGAUUCACUAUUUACGAGUGAAGAAAGCACCUGAGAAGGCUUGGACGUCAGAACCAGGCAGACCCACUACUGUCAAGUUUUCCCAGUGUUUAUCUUUGAUAAGUACAAUAACUCUGACUCAGACUUUUGCCUUAGACUGGCCAUGGUCUCAAGCAUAUUGUGGGUUCUCUGGUCUAGAGACCAUGUAUAUAGAUGAUCAUCAACAAAUGGCUACAUAUAAUACCUCUGCUGUGGUCUUACAAAGAGACACAACAAUCUUAAAAGGUUGGCAGAAUCAACACUGUGGUGCAAACAUUUUGGCUGAAGUUGUUGGAAAGGAAGUACGAGUAGGAUGUAAAAUACUUAAUCCACCCCUACAAGAAAACUAAAAACUGCAACCUCAAAUUUUUAUGAGAGAUCCUUUGGUUCUUGGGAGUCCGUCCUGUUCACCUUUUCUUAAAACUUCAUAUGCAGGAUGGGCAGCAUGGCUGCACAAAUGUACAUUCACCUUCAAGAAUUGGACUAGAAGAGAUAUAGUUGGGGCAUUAGGAUCAGGAUUAGGGAUUUUGAACAGCAUGGAUUCUUAAAUAUUAAUAAAUAGAUUGGAAAGAGUGACCAGCGAUUUGAAUCAACUGCAAAGUCCCCUAAAAUCUUCCCUUUCAACCCUAGGAGCUAGUCAACAACUCACAUUAGAAGCAUUACUCCCAUGGGAAGAAACUAAUGAACAUAUCAUCUGUUAAUUGCAAAAGCUCUAGGGUCAGCUCAGACCAAUGUUUGUUUGGCUCAGAGUUGUAUUCAGGCUCAAGCUUGGACACAAACAGUGAUAGUGGCAAUCAUUAGGGAAGGUGAAAGUGGCAUCUUAUCAACUGAAAUUUGUGCAGUUAUUUGGCAAAAUGUGACACAAUUUGAAUAGGAAUUGCAAUUGUGGUGGUAAUGAGUUAAUUUGACCUCCUGAUCCUACUACUGGUGUUGCUACAGCCUUUGUACUAACUGUACAAAAAGCUGAAAUUAAUGGGAUCUACCCAAUUAUCACCUUCAGGGCAAGUCACGCCAGAACUAUACUGGAACCCGAGACAUUGUCUGGGCCCUGAGAAAAGGAGAUAAGUGGCAAACAAUUGAUGUAGAGGCAUGCACUGUACAAGAACAAGGAUAUAUCUGUGAGAGCAAUAGUAUGAGAGCACAGGACAUCUGUCUAGAUACUGAACAAAGCAUUUGUCAUUAUGAGAUGCACCCAUUUGAAAAUCCAAAACCUGUGAUUGUUUGCAUAAGGUAAGGGCUGUGCUUGCUUGAGGACCCCAUGCAGCCUGCUGCAUGUAGAUAAACAUUCUUUAAUGACCAGUAAUCAGUCCAAUUUCUGUGUUUGUAAUUUUGUUAACGUUGGAGGGUGUGAUUUUAAUUAUGCAGCUCCAGUUGUGAUUUUAAUUAUGCAGCUCCAGUUGUUUUGUACUCCUUGUUAGGAUGUGACUGUGUGUUAUUUUGAGAGGUCCAGCCCACCCCCACUAGAAUGGACUAUGUAUUGCUUGCAGAAUUAUUGCAUCAUGAAGACCUGCAGAAACUAUUGAAGCAAAUCCAAGAAAAUGGAUGAAAGACUCUAAUUAUGGUCCAGCAUGAUGUAGAAAAGAUUCCCCACAUACUCGAACGAGUGAAAGAAGACAGAAAGAACUAUUGAUGGGACACUUUCAUGAGAAAAUCUCCCUCAGCAGCUCAAGUUUUGAAUGUGUUGAUUUUGUUGUUUAUAGUAGUAAUACUUGCAGUGGUCAAUUUUGUAUUCUAGUGUAAGUUAAGAACCUUAGCAUCUCAGGUAAUGAAGAAUUCAAAAAUAAAAUACAAUAAAAAUAUAAAUAAAAUAAAAAUGAAAUUAAAAACAAUAAAACUAAAUUAAGAAAAAGUAAAAAAAUAAAAGGAAUAAAAUUAUUUUAUGGAAUGGGCAAUUAGUUACUCUCACCAGGAGUAUAUUUUACUACUAGCAAAAUUCAAUUUUUUUUUCAAAUUGCUGAUAGACUUUGAUUGCAGACUUUGGCUGCAGACUGAAGUGUAGCUGCUCUGAAAAUUCCAAGAAAAGGUGUAAAAUGAUGAGUGAAAAAUGUCAAGGGUAAUAUUUGUUUAAUGUGAUUUUGCUCAUACGUUUAUAUCCAAAAAUGUCUUUCUAGACCACCUGGGAGUUCUACUGUUGAGUCAGGUUAGCCCUUUCCUUUUUCACAUUUACUCCAUUUUGUUUGUACUUCCCAAGUCUAUUUUAUUUUUCUCAUUUUCUUUUACCCUGCUGGUUUGUUCUUUCUUGGCUUUAUUUUUAAUUAGUUAAACAUAAGUGGCCUUUGACAUAGCAAAGAUUAUGAAAACAGUGGGACGUUGGUUACUGCUUUGAAAGAGUAAGGCAAAUAUUUUUGUGUUUGUUCUCCUUUGUCUGUUACCUCUCUCCUGGGGUUGUAUUGUCAGUAAGUGAAGUAAAAGAGCCACUUGAAGGGGGGAAAGAGAGUUUAUUUGGAAUCUUUCUUAGUUUUCUGUGUUUUAUUAGGGCUAAAAGCCCUAAUAAAUCUUAGUUCCAUUGUGCUAUGCAAAGCUACAAAUGUGUAAUGAGAACAUCUGAAGUUUACAACAUUAAGCAUUAUGCCAGACCAGACCUGGCAGGGAGAUGGUACUUAAUUUUAUGCAUGCAGAUCAACCACCAGAGAUUUUGAGCUGGCAUCUAAUCGUGUUUAACAUCUCUUGAAAAUCUGUCCUCUCACAAUGGAAGCUCCUAUGUGGAAACUGGCCUACUGGAAAGCUCUCCUUUUAUAGUCAUU